Molecule: ribosomal RNA, 447 nt
Filed under: uncultured bacterium
Lineage: Bacteria
Description: partial 16S ribosomal RNA
Rfam family: Bacterial small subunit ribosomal RNA
Source: RNAcentral
AACGAACGCUGGCGGCAGGCUUAACACAUGCAAGUCGAGCGCCCCGCAAGGGGAGCGGCCGACGGGGGAGUAACACGUGGGAAUCUACCCCUCCCUACGGAACAACUCCGGGAAAAUGGAGCUAAUAACGUAUAAGCCCUUCGGGGGAAAGAUUUAUCGGGGAUGGAUGUGCCCGCGUUGGAUUAGCUAGUUGGUGGGGUGAAGGCCUACCAAGGCGACGAUCCAGAGCUGGUCUGAGAGGAUGAUCAGCCACAUUGGGACUGAGACACGGCCCAAACUCCUACGGGAGGCAGCAGUGGGGAAUAUUGGACGAUGGGCGCAAGCCUGAUCCAGCCAUGCCGCGUGAAGGAUGAAGGCCUUAGGGUUGUAAAGUUCUUUCACCGAUGAAGAUAAUGACGGUAGUCGGAGAAGAAGCCCCGGCUAACUUCGUGCCAGCAGCCGCGGUAA